UACGAAGGGGGCUAGCGUUGCUCGGAAUCACUGGGCGUAAAGCGCACGUAGGCGGAUCUUUAAGUCAGGGGUGAAAUCCUGGAGCUCAACUCCAGAACUGCCUUUGAUACUGAGGAUCUCGAGUCCGGGAGAGGUGAGUGGAACUGCGAGUGUAGAGGUGAAAUUCGUAGAUAUUCGCAAAAACACCAGUGGCGAAGGCGGCUCACUGGCCCGGUACUGACGCUGAGGUGCGAAAGCGUGGGGAGCAAACAGG
Molecule: ribosomal RNA, 253 nt
Filed under: uncultured bacterium
Lineage: Bacteria
Description: partial 16S ribosomal RNA
Rfam family: Bacterial small subunit ribosomal RNA
Source: RNAcentral